CCCCGGGGAGGCAGCAGUAGGGAAUUUUCGGCAAUGGGGGAAACCCUGACCCGAGCAAACGCCGCCUGGAGUGAUGGAAGGCUUUCGGGUUGUAAAGUUCUGUUGUAAGGGAAGAACAAGUAUGAUAGGGAAUGAUCAUCGAGUGACGGUACCUUACCAGAAAGUCACGCCUAACUACGUGCCAGCAGCCGCGGUAAUACGUAGGUGGCAAGCGUUAUCGGGAAUUAUUGGGCGUAAAGGGUGCGUAGGCGNCCAUUUAAGUCUAAGGUGAAAGUUCGAGGCUCAACUUCGAAUUGCCUUAGAAACUGGGUGGCUAGAGUGCAGGAGAGGGCAAUGGAAUUCCAUGUGUAGCGGUAAAAUGCGUAGAUAUAUGGAGGAACACCAGUGGCGAAGGCGGUUGCCUGGCCUGUAACUGACGCUGAAGCACGAAAGCGUGGGGAGCAAAUAGGAUUAGACACCCUAGUAGUCCACGCUGUAAACGAUGAUUACUAAGUGUUGGGGAAACUCAGUGCUGCAGUUAACGCAAUAAGUAAUCCGCCUGGGGAGUAUGCACGCAAGUGUGAAACUCAAAGGAAUUGACGGGGGCCCGCACAAGCGGUGGAGUAUGUGGUUUAAUUCGAAGCAACGCGAAGAACCUUACCAGGUCUUGACAUACCGGGCAAAGCCCUAGAGAUAGGGAAAUAGUUAUGCCGGAUACAGGUGGUGCAUGGUUGUCGUCAGCUCGUGUCGUGAGAUGUUGGGUUAAGUCCCGCAACGAGCGCAACCCUUGUCUUCAGUUACCAUCAUUCAGUUGGGGACUCUGGAGAGACUGCCGGUGACAAACCGGAGGAAGGUGGGGAUGACGUCAAAUCAUCAUGCCCCUUAUGACCUGGGCUACACACGUACUACAAUGGCGUAUACAGAGGGAAGCGAAGCAGUGAUGUGGAGCGAAUCUCAGAAAGUACGUCUCAGUUCGGAUUGGAGUCUGCAACUCGACUCCAUGAAGUCGGAAUCGCUAGUAAUCGCGGAUCAGCAUGCCGCGGUGAAUACGUUCUCGGGCCUUGUACACACCGCCCGUCAAACCAUGAGAGUUGGUAAUACCCGAAGCCGGUGGCCUAACCCUGUAAAGGGAGGGAGCCGUCGAAGGUAGGACCGAUGAUUGGGGUUAAGUCGUAACAAGGUA
Molecule: ribosomal RNA, 1162 nt
Filed under: uncultured Erysipelothrix sp.
Lineage: Bacteria; Bacillati; Bacillota; Erysipelotrichia; Erysipelotrichales; Erysipelotrichaceae
Description: bacterial SSU rRNA
Rfam family: Bacterial small subunit ribosomal RNA
Source: RNAcentral